This 301-nucleotide ribosomal RNA is filed under the name uncultured bacterium. RNAcentral describes it as "partial 16S ribosomal RNA". It matches the Rfam family "Bacterial small subunit ribosomal RNA", at positions 509 to 807 of the family's 1533-position model. The record is from RNAcentral.
CAGUCGCCGCGGUAAUACGAAGGGUGCAAGCGUUACUCGGGAUUACUGGGCGUAAAGCGUGCGUAGGUGGUGGUUUAAGUCCGUUGUGAAAGCCCUGGGCUCAACCUGGGAAUUGCAGUGGAUACUGGGUCACUAGAGUGUGGUAGAGGAUAGUGGAAUUUCCGGUGUAGCAGUGAAAUGCGUAGAGAUCGGAAGGAACAUCUGUGGCGAAGGCGACUAUCUGGGCCAACACUGACACUGAGGCACGAAAGCGUGGGGAGCAAACAGGAUUAGAUACCCCAGUAGUCCCUGUCUCUUAUAC